RNAcentral lists this ribosomal RNA (253 nucleotides) under uncultured bacterium. RNAcentral describes it as "partial 16S ribosomal RNA". It matches the Rfam family "Bacterial small subunit ribosomal RNA", at positions 524 to 776 of the family's 1533-position model. The record is from RNAcentral.
UACGUAGGGGGCAAGCGUUGUCCGGAAUCAUUGGGCGUAAAGCGCGUGUAGGCGGACUGGAAGGUCUGGUGUGAAAGCCCGGGGCUCAACCCCGGAGGGUCACUGGAAACCGACAGUCUUGAGUCCGGAAGAGGAGAGUGGAAUUCCUGGUGUAGCGGUGGAAUGCGCAGAUAUCAGGAGGAACACCUAUGGCGAAGGCAGCUCUCUGGUACGUGACUGACGCUGAGGAGCGAAAGCGUGGGGAGCGAACAGG